This 397-nucleotide ribosomal RNA is filed under the name uncultured bacterium. Its description in RNAcentral is "bacterial SSU rRNA". It matches the Rfam family "Bacterial small subunit ribosomal RNA", at positions 358 to 772 of the family's 1533-position model. The record is from RNAcentral.
GGAAUUUUGGGCAAUGGGCGAAAGCCUGACCCAGCAACGCCGCGUGAGGGAUGAAGUAUUUCGGUAUGUAAACCCCGAAAGACUGGGAAGAAUAAAUGACGGUACCAUUUAUAAGCUCCGGCUAACUACGUGCCAGCAGCCGCGGUAAUACGUAGGGAGCAAGCGUUGUUCGGAUUUACUGGGCGCAAAGGGCGCGUAGGCGGCGCGGUAAGUCACUUGUGAAAUCUCUGAGCUUAACCCAGAACGGCCAAGUGAUACUGCUGUGCUAGAGUGCGGAAGAGGCAACCGGAAUUCUUGGUGUAGCGGUGAAAUGCGUAGAUAUGAAGAGGAACACCUGAGGCGAAGGCAGGUUGCUGGGACGACACUGACGCUGAUGCGCGAAAGCCAGGGGAGCAAA